GGUCUUCCCUUCCAAACCACAGAACAAGGUCAGAGAGGUGGAGGGAGGAGAAAAGUGCUUCCAGGAAGAGGCUCGGCUGGCACCAUGACAGGUUUUCUGUGGAUACUGGAAAUCAGCUUCUCCAUAACCUCUCUGGAUGGAGCACCGCCCCUGCCACCACGCCCCUCCCCAGGUCUGCAGGAACCUCAGCAGGGUGAGCAUGAGGAGGGCAGCCGACAGAACCCCUCGGAGAGUUCAGACUCCAGGGAUAUGGAAAGCAAAGACACCCCAGAGGAGCCAGGACCCUUCCUGCCCACGCCCAGCAUCCAGGACACCUCCCUGCUUCACGCAGAAGGCAGGAGUCUGCUCAGCUUCCAGAAGUGGAUGUGCAGAAUGAGGGGCAGGGUCUGGGAAUGCCUGUCACAGCUGUGUCCCCAAAACCACACUUCCCCACCCCAGCCUGCAAGAUGAAGGGCUCCUAAGAUCCCCAGAUGAAAGGCCCGGGUGAGCCCAGCCACCAUCAACACCAGCCCUGGGCUUUUAUUCUCUGAUUGGGGCUUGCCUAAUCCACUAAUUAUCCCUGUCCAUCUCGGCGAUGACAGCCUGGGGGAUAAUCAAUGGUUGCCUCCUUGCCCACCCGCCCUCACCCACUUGCCCAAGCACACCAGCAAUAAACACGCCAAUGAAAAGGAAGACCUAAUCACAAAAGGUGCUCCGACCAGCCCUCGCACAAGGCUCCAUUUGUAACAACAAGACGCUUUCAGUCAAGGGCAUCCAGUGCUUCCUUCACCCACCCACGAGGUCUGACGCCCAGGCUGUAUUCUGACAUAUGGGCGUGUCUCCCUUAAAAUUUUAACAACUAAACAAUUAUGGCAACCCGA
Marmota monax (woodchuck) is the source of this 860-nucleotide long non-coding RNA. RefSeq lists it as uncharacterized. The record is from RefSeq and is a predicted model, not a curated record. Lineage: Eukaryota; Metazoa; Chordata; Mammalia; Rodentia; Sciuridae. The transcript has 2 exons.